AACGAACGCUGGCGGCAUGCCUAACACAUGCAAGUCGAACGAGACCUUCGGGUCUAGUGGCGCACGGGUGCGUCACGCGUGGGAACCUGCCCUUAGGUUCGGAAUAACUCCCCGACAGGGGUGCUAAUACCGGAUAAUGUCUUCGGACCAAAGAUUUAUCGCCUUUGGAUGGGCCCGCGUUGGAUUAGCUAGUUGGUAGGGUAAAAGCCUACCAAGGCGACGAUCCAUAGCUGGUCUGAGAGGAUGAUCAGCCACACUGGGACUGAGACACGGCCCAGACUCCUACGGGAGGCAGCAGUGGGGAAGAUUGGACAAUGGGCGAAAGCCUGAUCCAGCAAUGCCGCGUGAGUGAUGAAGGCCUUAGGGUUGUAAAGCUCUUUUACCCGGGAUGAUAAUGACAGUACCGGGAGAAUAAGCUCCGGCUAACUCCG
Molecule: ribosomal RNA, 431 nt
Filed under: uncultured bacterium
Lineage: Bacteria
Description: partial 16S ribosomal RNA
Rfam family: Bacterial small subunit ribosomal RNA
Source: RNAcentral